GUGCUCAAUUCGGCAGCACACGCACUAACAUUGGAACGAUACAGAGAAGAUUAGCAUGGCCAAUGUGCAAGGAUGACAUGCAAAUUCAUGAAGCGUUCCAUAUUUUU
Molecule: small nuclear RNA, 107 nt
Organism: Dipodomys spectabilis (banner-tailed kangaroo rat)
Lineage: Eukaryota; Metazoa; Chordata; Mammalia; Rodentia; Heteromyidae
Source: RefSeq, a predicted model, not a curated record